CCUGGCUCAGGAUGAACGCUGGCGGCGUGCUUAACACAUGCAAGUCGAACGAUGAACCUCACUUGUGGGGGGAUUAGUGGCGAACGGGUGAGUAACACGUGAGUAACCUGCCCUUGACUCUGGGAUAAGCCUGGGAAACUGGGUCUAAUACCGGAUAUGACCUUCCAUCGCAUGGUGGUUGGUGGAAAGCUUUUGCGGUUUUGGAUGGACUCGCGGCCUAUCAGCUUGUUGGUGGGGUAAUGGCCUACCAAGGCGACGACGGGUAGCCGGCCUGAGAGGGUGACCGGCCACACUGGGACUGAGACACGGCCCAGACUCCUACGGGAGGCAGCAGUGGGGAAUAUUGCACAAUGGGCGCAAGCCUGAUGCAGCGACGCCGCGUGAGGGAUGACGGCCUUCGGGUUGUAAACCUCUUUCAGUAGGGAAGAAGCGUAAGU
This 437-nucleotide ribosomal RNA is filed under the name Arthrobacter sp. R-45677. RNAcentral's name for it is "bacterial SSU rRNA". It matches the Rfam family "Bacterial small subunit ribosomal RNA", at positions 18 to 457 of the family's 1533-position model. The record is from RNAcentral. Lineage: Bacteria; Bacillati; Actinomycetota; Actinomycetes; Micrococcales; Micrococcaceae.